This 1316-nucleotide long non-coding RNA is filed under the name Homo sapiens (human). Its description in RNAcentral is "non-protein coding lnc-RUNX1-12:3". Lineage: Eukaryota; Metazoa; Chordata; Mammalia; Primates; Hominidae. The record is from RNAcentral.
ACUUCACAGAAUGGCUGAGGGUGUGGAUGAACGGUGGACGCUCCUGCCCGGCACCCAUGGGUGCUCACGACGAUUGUGUUUUACUGUUGGCUGCAAUAUGUCAUGACUUAUCAUGUGUGAUCCUUGAGUGAAUAGGCAGCUGCGAGCCUGAGCGGACUCCUAUGAACCAGUCUUCUCCAGCAAUAGACCCUCCUUCAACUCGUGGUAGCCUGUACGCCAAGGGUGACAGACUGGAAAGCAGGAUCCACCGGUUCAUCUAUGGGAAAAGGAGGGGGAAUGAGAUCAAGGAUUGAGGACGCUAAUGGAGAUGGGGUUUCACCAUGUUGCCCAGGCUGGUCUUGAACUCCUAGACUCAAGUGAUCCACUCGCCUUGGCCUCCCAAAAUGCUGGAAUUACAGUUUAUGUAUUGAAGAACCUGGGCCGUUUGACCCACGGAGUGGUUCUCAAUCUGGAUUUGGCUGAUUGGGCACUCAUGUUGCAGGUUAACAUGCUCCUCGGUUUUCUGACCUCCUAGAAGUUGGCAGCUGGAUCCAGAAGCUUCAACAGCCUCAGGUUCAGCCUCCUGGGCUGGCGGAUUGUAGGCCAAAGCUUGAUUUGGGUAUCAGCAAGUUAAAACUCAGGCACAUCCAUCUUUCCUGAUCCAAGUAAAUUCUAGUGGGCAAGAGGAAGAGAAGAGAAACUACAACAUCAUUAUCUUACUGCUGGAGGCAGCAGAUUACGGACCCCUGACUGUGAUGUGUCAAAUGCACUGUGUGACAACCAAGACCCUACACAUCUGGGGGGCACUUCAGGAUUCCUCCAGGCGGCAGUUGCUGGCCUAGACUCACUUCUUCAGGAGGGAGGUUCGCCCUGGAAAAGCUGAUUUGCAUUUCUGCUGGGAUCGAUGCCGUGGAGACUGAAUACAUUGAGGUCUCCAGGUGAAAGAAGAAAGCUUAACCUGGCUUCUGAAUUCCAAGAGCACACGGCAAAGUGAGCGAGCCCGGCACCCAGCUGUCGUCCACUUGCAUUUAGUGUAGCUGCCACCCAGCAAUUAACGCGCCUGGGCUCUCCUUUGGAAACCGAGCAGAGAAGAACAAUACCACAGCGAGUUCGCCUGGACCCGAAAGCAGGUAAAAGAAAUCAUUGAGUCCCCCGCCUUCAGAAGAGGGUGCAUUUUCAGGAGGAAGCGAUGGCUUCAGACAGCAUAUUUGAGUCAUUUCCUUCGUACCCACAGUGCUUCAUGAGAGAAUGCAUACUUGGAAUGAAUCCUUCUAGAGACGUCCACGAUGCCAGCACGAGCCGCCGCUUCACGCCGCCUUCCACCGCGCUGAGCCCAG